Molecule: long non-coding RNA, 434 nt
Organism: Eriocheir sinensis (Chinese mitten crab)
Lineage: Eukaryota; Metazoa; Arthropoda; Malacostraca; Decapoda; Varunidae
Exons: 3
Source: RefSeq, a predicted model, not a curated record
CUGGGUUGGCCUCAGCGACGGGGGCGGGAGAGGGGUUGGCAGCGGCGGGCCCCAGCACCACCUCCACCAUCAGCACCACCACCAAUGCUACAAGGGAUCUCAUUGCCACCAGCUACGGGAGGGAAACAUGAUAUAGAUGAGGAAAUCCUCAAGACUCCUGCGGCGCCGCCUGCCGUAGUAGCCGCCGCCGCACCAGCCGCAGGACCCGCCGCACCCGCCGCAGCCGCAGCCGACGCAGCCGCCGUGGUGGUGGUGGUGGUGGCUACGUCUGCCAGCCAGGUACCCCUAACAGUAAGAUGCAUCAUCCACAAGUCCGUGACUAGAAGACAUGCACUAACCCCGACAAAGGCCAGGGCGCCAAUGCCCGGGCGGUGGUGGUGGUGGUAGUGGUGAGGCUCGGGCUGCACCACCGUCGUCGCCACCGCCGCCACGAC